GUACACUCCUACGGGAGGCAGCAGUGGGGAAUAUUGGACAAUGGGCGCAAGCCUGAUCCAGCCAUGCCGCGUGAGUGAUGAAGGCCCUAGGGUUGUAAAGCUCUUUCACCGGUGAAGAUAAUGACGGUAACCGGAGAAGAAGCCCCGGCUAACUUCGUGCCAGCAGCCGCGGUAAUACGAAGGGGGCUAGCGUUGUUCGGAUUUACUGGGCGUAAAGCGCACGUAGGCGGACUAUUAAGUCAGGGGUGAAAUCCCGGGGCUCAACCCCGGAACUGCCUUUGAUACUGGUAGUCUUGAGUUCGAGAGAGGUGAGUGGAAUUCCGAGUGUAGAGGUGAAAUUCGUAGAUAUUCGGAGGAACACCAGUGGCGAAGGCGGCUCACUGGCUCGAUACUGACGCUGAGGUGCGAAAGCGUGGGGAGCAAACAGGAUUAGAAACCCUAGUAGUCC
RNAcentral lists this ribosomal RNA (448 nucleotides) under uncultured organism. RNAcentral describes it as "partial 16S ribosomal RNA". It matches the Rfam family "Bacterial small subunit ribosomal RNA", at positions 331 to 796 of the family's 1533-position model. The record is from RNAcentral.